Molecule: small RNA, 121 nt
Filed under: Marmota monax (woodchuck)
Lineage: Eukaryota; Metazoa; Chordata; Mammalia; Rodentia; Sciuridae
Source: RNAcentral
GCUGGGCGCAGUGGCGCAUGCCUGUAAUCCAGCGCCGGAGGCUGAGGCAGGAUAAUCUCGAGUUCAAAGCCAGCCUCAGCAAAAGUGAGGCAACACGCAACUCAGUGAGACCCUGUCUCUA